RNAcentral lists this ribosomal RNA (235 nucleotides) under uncultured bacterium. RNAcentral describes it as "partial 16S ribosomal RNA". It matches the Rfam family "Bacterial small subunit ribosomal RNA", at positions 99 to 334 of the family's 1533-position model. The record is from RNAcentral.
CGGACGGGUGAGUAACGCGUGGGUGACCUGCCCCAUACCGGGGGAUAACAGCUGGAAACGGCUGCUAAUACCGCAUAAGCGCACAGAGCUGCAUGGCUCCGUGUGAAAAACUCCGGUGGUAUAAGAUGGACCCGCGUUGGAUUAGCUGGUUGGUGGGGUAACGGCCCACCAAGGCGACGAUCCAUAGCCGGUCUGAGAGGGUGAACGGCCACAUUGGGACUGAGACACGGCCCAG